Molecule: long non-coding RNA, 660 nt
Filed under: Prunus dulcis (almond)
Lineage: Eukaryota; Viridiplantae; Streptophyta; Magnoliopsida; Rosales; Rosaceae
Description: sRNA ncRNA
Source: RNAcentral
UAUGGAUCAGCAUGUGAUUUGACGCAGUAUAUAUAUAUAUAGCUCUCUGUCUUCCUGAGCUGCAAAUAACCAGCAAGAGAAGCAAGAUGAUCAUCAAAGUAAACCAGCGCUUGUUGGGUUUUGCUCUGCUCGCAAUUUAUAUCAUAAUGAUCUCUAAAACCAUUGGUUUUACUGGCAAGUGCAUAUAUUCCGUCUCUUCUAAUUUUGAAGUACUUUUGAUCACAAAUAAUUUCAUGUCCUGCUUGAUUUGCUAAUAUGCAUUUCUGUUUUUUUUUCUGGGGUCUGAUAAAUUAACAUGUUCAUGCGUAGGUUUGUAUGUGGAGAAGGUGGUCAUCCACGAACAAGCUGGUCGACCCGCCAGCCCACCACCACCUCCACCAGCAUUUCCACCAUCCCCGAGGCCCUAGAACCUCAAACGCAUGGUUACCAACGUUUAUAAGUAAUGCAUACAAAGGUUCCCACUCUUUUUUACUCUACUACUACCAACACUUAAAUUUCUGAGUUUCAUGUGUGUAUAUAUAAUUUACUUAUAUACAUAUAAUUGGAUAAAAGAAAGAAUAAAAAGAUUUCCAGUUUAAUGAAUACAUGUCUCGAUGGUGUAUCACUGCAAGAAUUUACAACUUUAAAUUCAUUUUAUGAGGAGGGUUUACCCCCUUUUAC